GAUGAACGCUGGCGGCGUGCCUAAUACAUGCAAGUCGAGCGAACAGAUGAGGAGCUUGCUCCUCUGACGUUAGCGGCGGACGGGUGAGUAACACGUGGAUAACCUACCUAUAAGACUGGGAUAACUUCGGGAAGCCGGAGCUAAUACCGGAUAAUAUAUUGAACCGCAUGGUUCAAUAGUGAAAGACGGUUUUGCUGUCACUUAUAGAUGGAUCCGCGCCGCAUUAGCUAGUUGGUAAGGUAACGGCUUACCAAGGCAACGAUGCGUAGCCGACCUGAGAGGGGGAUCGGCCACACUGGAACUGAGACACGGUCCAGACUCCUACGGGAGGCAGCAGUAGGGAAUCUUCCGCAAUGGGCGAAAGCCUGACGGAGCAACGCCGCGUGAGUGAUGAAGGUCUUCGGAUCGUAAAACUCUGUUAUUAGGGAAGAACAAAUGUGUAAGUAACUAUGCACGUCUUGACGGUACCUAAUCAGAAAGCCACGGCUAACUACGUG
RNAcentral lists this ribosomal RNA (497 nucleotides) under uncultured bacterium. Its description in RNAcentral is "partial 16S ribosomal RNA". It matches the Rfam family "Bacterial small subunit ribosomal RNA", at positions 28 to 507 of the family's 1533-position model. The record is from RNAcentral.